GGCUUUGCACAGUGGCAAUAUUGUAACCAAUGAGGUUUAUCUGAAGCACAGUUAUUGCUAAUUGAAAACUUUUCCCAUGCUUUUCCUGCCAUGAUCAUUUGAAAUGUAGUCAGCACUAGCAUUUUUUUUAAAAAUAUAUCUACU
Molecule: small nuclear RNA, 144 nt
Filed under: Salvator merianae (Argentine black and white tegu)
Lineage: Eukaryota; Metazoa; Chordata; Lepidosauria; Squamata; Teiidae
Description: U4 spliceosomal RNA (ENSSMRG00000009461.1)
Rfam family: U4 spliceosomal RNA
About the family: U4 small nuclear RNA (U4 snRNA) is a component of the major U2-dependent spliceosome. The structure of U4 snRNA from yeast and human has been reported.
Source: Rfam by way of RNAcentral